GAGAGUAUAGCUCAGUGGUAGAGCACCUGCCUGGUAUGCAAGAGGCCUUGGGUUUGAUUCCCAGCACUGCCA
RNAcentral lists this transfer RNA (72 nucleotides) under Ictidomys tridecemlineatus (thirteen-lined ground squirrel). RNAcentral describes it as "Spermophilus tridecemlineatus (thirteen-lined ground squirrel) tRNA". It matches the Rfam family "tRNA". Rfam says of the family: Transfer RNA (tRNA) molecules are approximately 80 nucleotides in length. Their secondary structure includes four short double-helical elements and three loops (D, anti-codon, and T loops). Lineage: Eukaryota; Metazoa; Chordata; Mammalia; Rodentia; Sciuridae. The record is from Rfam by way of RNAcentral.